UGAAAGACCAUUUCUCAUUCGACCACCAAAGUUAAGCAAUAUUGAGUCCUGUCAGUACCUAGGUGGGUGACCACCUGGGAAUAGUAGGUGCUAU
Acanthosepion pharaonis is the source of this 94-nucleotide non-coding RNA. The record is from the annotation of a GenBank genome assembly. Lineage: Eukaryota; Metazoa; Mollusca; Cephalopoda; Sepiida; Sepiidae.